GACGAACGCUGGCGGCGUGCUUAACACAUGCAAGUCGAACGGAAAGGCCCUGCUUUUCUGGGGUGCUCGAGUGGCGAACGGGUGAGUAACACGUGAGUAACCUGCCCUUGACUUUGGGAUAACUUCAGGAAACUGUGGCUAAUACCGGAUGGGAGCCUUUACUGCAUGGUGGGUGUUGAAAAGUUGCGGCGGUUGGGGUUGGACUCGCGGCUUAGCAGCUUUUUGGUGGGGUAGUGGCUUACCAAGGCUUAGACGGGUAGCCGGCCUGAGAGGGUGACCGGCCACAGUGGGACUGAGAUACGGCCCAGACUCCUACGGGAGGCAGCAGUGGGGAAUAGUGCACAAUGGGCGGAAGCCUGAUGCAGCAACGCCGCGUGCGGGAUGACGGCCUUCGGGUUGUAAACCGCUUUCGCCUGUGACGAAGCGUGAGUGACGGUAAUGGGUAAAGAAGCACCGGCUAACUACGUG
Molecule: ribosomal RNA, 468 nt
Filed under: uncultured bacterium
Lineage: Bacteria
Description: partial 16S ribosomal RNA
Rfam family: Bacterial small subunit ribosomal RNA
Source: RNAcentral